Molecule: ribosomal RNA, 497 nt
Filed under: uncultured bacterium
Lineage: Bacteria
Description: partial 16S ribosomal RNA
Rfam family: Bacterial small subunit ribosomal RNA
Source: RNAcentral
GAUGAACGCUGGCGGCGUGCCUAAUACAUGCAAGUCGAGCGAACAGACGAGGAGCUUGCUCCUCUGACGUUAGCGGCGGACGGGUGAGUAACACGUGGAUAACCUACCUAUAAGACUGGGAUAACUUCGGGAAACCGGAGCUAAUACCGGAUAAUAUAUUGAACCGCAUGGUUCAAUAGUGAAAGACGGUUUUGCUGUCACUUAUAGAUGGAUCCGCGCCGCAUUAGCUAGUUGGUAAGGUAACGGCUUACCAAGGCAACGAUGCGUAGCCGACCUGAGAGGGUGAUCGGCCACACUGGAACUGAGACACGGUCCAGACUCCUACGGGAGGCAGCAGUAGGGAAUCUUCCGCAAAGGGCGAAAGCCUGACGGAGCAACGCCGCGUGAGUGAUGAAGGUCUUCGGAUCGUAAAACUCUGUUAUUAGGGAAGAACAAAUGUGUAAGUAAAUAUGCACGUCUUGACGGUACCUAAUCAGAAAGCCACGGCUAACUACGUG